This 507-nucleotide ribosomal RNA is filed under the name uncultured bacterium. Its description in RNAcentral is "bacterial SSU rRNA". It matches the Rfam family "Bacterial small subunit ribosomal RNA", at positions 771 to 1279 of the family's 1533-position model. The record is from RNAcentral.
AACCGGAUUAGAUACCCUGGUAGUCCACGCCCUAAACGAUGUCUACUAGUUGUCGGGUUUUAAUUAACUUGGUAACGCAGCUAACGCGUGAAGUAGACCGCCUGGGGAGUACGGUCGCAAGAUUAAAACUCAAAGGAAUUGACGGGGACCCGCACAAGCGGUGGAUGAUGUGGAUUAAUUCGAUGCAACGCGAAAAACCUUACUUACCCUUGACAUGUACGGAAGACCGAAGAGAUUUGGUUGUGCUCGAAAGAGAACCGUAACACAGGUGCUGCAUGGCUGUCGUCAGCUCGUGUCGUGAGAUGUUGGGUUAAGUCCCGCAACGAGCGCAACCCUUGUCAUUAGUUGCUACAUUUAGUUGAGCACUCUAAUGAGACUGCCGGUGACAAACCGGAGGAAGGUGGGGAUGACGUCAAGUCCUCAUGGCCCUUAUGGGUAGGGCUUCACACGUCAUACAAUGGUACAUACAGAGGGCCGCCAACCCGCGAGGGGGAGCUAAUCCAAGAA